GCCCUUUCGCGAUGCGGCGAUCGCCCCUAUAUUCAGCGGUGCCGGGCAUUCGUCCGGCUAUGGCGAUAAACGUUCGAUGCAAUAAACCUUUCGGACCCGGGGGCGGUACCCGGCGCCUCCACCCGAUCCCAUCCGUGCCGAUAACGGCGCCGCGAUGGGAUCCGGCGGGGGCGAAAUAGGAUCGACGAGGGCGUAAAGAUCGGAUUUUUGCUCGGAAUGGUUCCGCCGUCAUCGGGCCGUAACAAUAGUUGCAAACGACAACUAUGCGGAAGCACGUCUCGCCGCGUAAGCGGUGCGAUAGCUUCGAAUCAAGCCCUGGGGGUUCGCACUCCUAGGCGGGGCCCGGAGGCGCCUGGCAACAGAAGCCUCCACU
This 373-nucleotide transfer-messenger RNA is filed under the name Fulvimarina endophytica. RNAcentral's name for it is "Alphaproteobacteria transfer-messenger RNA". It matches the Rfam family "Alphaproteobacteria transfer-messenger RNA". Rfam says of the family: Bacterial tmRNA, also known as 10Sa RNA or SsrA, is named for its dual tRNA and mRNA-like properties. Its role is to liberate the mRNA from a stalled ribosome. To accomplish this part of the tmRNA is used as a reading frame that ends in a translation stop signal. Lineage: Bacteria; Pseudomonadati; Pseudomonadota; Alphaproteobacteria; Hyphomicrobiales; Aurantimonadaceae. The record is from Rfam by way of RNAcentral.